Molecule: non-coding RNA, 99 nt
Organism: Acanthosepion pharaonis
Lineage: Eukaryota; Metazoa; Mollusca; Cephalopoda; Sepiida; Sepiidae
Source: the annotation of a GenBank genome assembly
UUUGAAACACCGGUUUCCUGACAACCACUGAAGUUAAGCAAUGUUGAGCUUGGUAAAUACCUAGAUGGGUGACCGCUUGGGAAUACCAGGUGUUGUAAG